Molecule: non-coding RNA, 68 nt
Filed under: Tetraselmis sp. GSL018
Lineage: Eukaryota; Viridiplantae; Chlorophyta; Chlorodendrophyceae; Chlorodendrales; Chlorodendraceae
Source: RNAcentral
AAACCUGGUCAGGAUGGGAAACAGUCUUGGAGGUAGCAGGUCUCAGGGGUUCGUUUUCGGUGCAGCAG